This 343-nucleotide long non-coding RNA is filed under the name Vigna radiata. RNAcentral describes it as "long non-coding RNA (VRAD_LNC003864)". The record is from RNAcentral. Lineage: Eukaryota; Viridiplantae; Streptophyta; Magnoliopsida; Fabales; Fabaceae.
CACCCUUAUGUGUUCGAACAAUAUGCUCAAGACGGUACUUGGCUCGGCUGUAGUCCCGGCGGCGGUUGGAGAGCAAGACGGCGGAGCAACCCAUGCGGAAAAAACAGUUAGGAAUGAGCAUGGACCUGUCCUUGCCCUGGUACCAGUUGUAGCCCACCAUCUCAGUGCUGACCACCACCGCGUAGUUAUUAGGGUUUGCUUGCAGAAUAUCCUUAGCCAAGUCAACGGCUAUGACCCCAGCACUGCACCCCAUUCCUCCGAGGUUGUAGCUGAGGAUGUUCCCCCGCAUCUUGUAGUGGUUGAUGAUCAUGGCUGACAGCGACGGAGUGGGGUUGAAGAUGCU